RNAcentral lists this transfer RNA (71 nucleotides) under Felis catus (domestic cat). It matches the Rfam family "tRNA". From Rfam's summary of the family: Transfer RNA (tRNA) molecules are approximately 80 nucleotides in length. Their secondary structure includes four short double-helical elements and three loops (D, anti-codon, and T loops). The record is from Rfam by way of RNAcentral. Lineage: Eukaryota; Metazoa; Chordata; Mammalia; Carnivora; Felidae.
ACCUGGCUGACUCAACUGGUAAAGCAUGAGACUCAAUCUCAAGAUUGUGAGUUCAAACCCCAUGUUGGGUG